UCUUUUAAAAAAAUUGGGUUCUCAUUCUUCCGUUUUUUAUGCUCUCCCCGAAACCCUUUGCUCUACUCUAACUUCUCAAGAGUCAAGACUGACAAUCGGAUCGAGCAACGAUUUCAACCCUCUGCAAUGCCGACAACGCGUGAUCACAAAGCAUAUUAGAGAUCCAAGAGGUAUUCGUCGGGGAGGAUUUACAGGCAACGCUCCAAGAAAUUUCGGCCCUAAUCCUCCACUUUAACAAGGUUGAUAAUAGGACGAAUCUAAAGGACUAGCCUCCUACAAAGCGUCCAUUGAGCUCUGCAGUUGUCAAGGUUGAGAAAAUUGAUAUCAUAACGAUGGGUCAUGCAUUACCUGCAAAAGGAGGAUUCUGCACUAGAAAUUUAAGAGACAAGCACAGAUUGUCACUUUUUGUACAAGUAUAAUAUCACAAAAGGGAGGCCCAAACUUGCUGCUAUUUACAUAUAUAUACAUAUAUUUGCUGCUAUUUUGCUGUUGUGUAUGCUCCAUUUGUACGGAGAUACUAUCCUUUAUUUAAAGAUUUGCACAAGUAUAAUAUCACAAAAGGGAGGCCCAAACUUGCAGCUUGGCUUAAGGCACUGGAUACUAUUGAGGCCUUCUGGAAAAUCAAAUAGGAUGACGAGCUGAGCAUAAAGACCUUUAAGAGGCGCAACCUGUACAUUUCAGAUUGUCAGUUUCCAAGUUAUGAAGAGCAGAUUGACGAAGUAAGAACCGAAUGGGUGCGCCAUGUUGUUCAACAAUUGUAUAAUUGCUAGGUUAUGUUCAAGGAACCAACAAACAUAAGACUAUUAAUUAAUGUAUUUUAUGUAGUUUAGAGUUUAGAAUUUUAAUUUAGAUCUAUGUAAUAGGUUUUAUUAUGGUGACAAUUGCAAAAAUUCUUUUAAUUGAGGUUUGAAAAUUAAUUUUUAACUAUUUACUAUUCUUCAAUAUAUGGUGUUAUU
Long non-coding RNA from Spinacia oleracea (spinach), 956 nucleotides. RefSeq lists it as uncharacterized. The record is from RefSeq and is a predicted model, not a curated record. Lineage: Eukaryota; Viridiplantae; Streptophyta; Magnoliopsida; Caryophyllales; Amaranthaceae. The transcript has 7 exons.